Molecule: long non-coding RNA, 2128 nt
Organism: Herpailurus yagouaroundi (jaguarundi)
Lineage: Eukaryota; Metazoa; Chordata; Mammalia; Carnivora; Felidae
Exons: 2
Source: RefSeq, a predicted model, not a curated record
CAUUAUAAUAAUAAAACUGUAAUAAUAACGCAAUAUGUGUGAUUAUAAUAAUAAAACUCACUAUGAUUAUAACUAGUGCCAUUUAUUAUUUUGUGCCAACCAACCCGUGUCACACGCUUCCUACGCCGUACCUGAAAAACACACGUAGGUAUCGUUACUUUCAUUACUUACCCCGUUUCAUGAAUGAGAAGCUGAGCUUCUGGCAGGCUGUGACGACUGUUGAUGCUAUCAAACUCCCACUAGCCAACUCUCUUCCCUUCAGAACCUCCAAAGCCCACUUACCACCUUACACCCCCCACCUCUGCUGAAACCCUGGCAAGCUUCAGAGUCCUACAAUGAUGUUUACGGCAUCUCCUGGUGCUCAAUAAUGGCAUGUGUUACAUUGUUACAUGGAAGACUACCUGCUGGGGAGAAGGACAAAGGCACCUCCCCUUUUCCUACUUAGACCCUCUCACACUGCCCACCUUCUCCAUCUAUGUUUCCUUUCUACCCUCUCGCUGCUCUUCUUCCUUCUGAGGUAUGAUCUGGUGCAAAGAGCACAGAACCAGAAAUAAGAACUGCCUCUAAUUAGCCGUGUGACUUCGGACAAGUCAGUUCACCUCUCACACCUUCAACUGCAAAGUGUAAGGAUAACAGCUGCCCAACCUGUUUUCAGGCAUGGUUGUUUAGAAUACAUAAGGAAGCAUACGCAGAAGUGAUCUAAAAGCUGUAAAUGAGUAUCAGCUGUGUGUAUUUGGUUCUCAAUAUUCUUUGGUCUUCUCACACACACACACACACACACACACACACACAUACGCACAAACGCACACAGUGCUUCUUUCUCACGGUAGAGAGGAUUGGCUGCAGUAAAUUUGCUGGCUUUUGCCCACUGCCAGCACCUCGCUGGGGCAGAAAAGAAAACAUGAAGAUGUGAAUAGGCAACAGCAAUGAAAUAAUGGUUGUUGUCCUUCUCCUUCUUUCUUUACUUUUCCAUGGGCUUCUUCUCCAUCCCAUCCAGACCAACAGCAACAGAAACCCACUUCAUCACCCACUUCAUCACCCACUUCACCUGCCCAACUCCCAGGACCCCCCUUGCUCCCUAUUUCACUGCCUACUUCUAAAUUUUCCACCUAUGUAGCCACAAUAAUCAUUCCUUAUUUACAAGAUAGUCACGGCAGCCUGUGUUGGACUGAGCGCUCACGACGUGUCAAACACAGUGCUAGACAUCCUGCACAGAUCGUCUCUCAUCGUCACGGCAACACACAGUAAGUGUCCUUGGCUCCAUUUGACACACUGGGCUCAGAGAGAUGAGCCAGCUCACCCAGUGAAGGACAAAGAUCCAGCUACUGCUGCUUCCAGACCAGAUACCAUUCCUACUCCCUAGCUAAAUCUAAACAUCACACUCUAGUCAAGUGUUCCUUAUGCAAAACAUUGGUUAGAAAUCACAGGGAAUUCUUACCUUUAAUAUCCUAUGAAUGUACAACCACAGUGGCAUAAAGCAUAAAGCAACCACAGUGGCAUAAAGCCUUUUUCCUUGAAAAAAGGCUAAGGACCCUGUACAGUAAGUAUGUUCACUUUACCUUUUAAUGUUUAAUAUAAUGAAAAAAAUGUUAUUUCUCCUAUUAAGAAGUGAUUGUGUUUAUUACAGUGAAGAAGCUGGCAGGCGCCACCUUAAACGUGUGACCAAAGUUAACAUCACCAGUAAAGGAAUAAACCGGCAUAAACCGGCAUCAUGUGGCUCUCAACGUGCUAUGCUGAGAAGAACACAGCAUCAUUCCAAGAGGAAUCACUCAGGAUGAAGACAAGAUCACCUACCCAUGGCCCCCGACUAAUGCUUCACAUUCUGGCCAAACGUGAAUGUGACAGGCCUCUACCUCUCUAGUGCCAAAGGACAGCGCUGGUGGGCUCUGUGAGGACAGCUACAACUGGCCCCUUUCUCUUUUAAAUAUGAGAAUUAUUCAUGUUUUAAAAAAAACACAUAUUUAAAGAUAUCUCUUAAUUUUUGUUACUAUUAGGGAGGAGAAGCCGAAACUGUUGUUUAUGAUAACAAAUUUCAAAUCAACACAGGUUGCCUCAAUGUCCAGAACUUGGUCAACAGGCCCAGUUUCCAUGUAAACACUGGUAAUAUCAAUGGAUUCUCUGUUUCUAU